RNAcentral lists this ribosomal RNA (425 nucleotides) under uncultured bacterium. Its description in RNAcentral is "partial 16S ribosomal RNA". It matches the Rfam family "Bacterial small subunit ribosomal RNA", at positions 354 to 796 of the family's 1533-position model. The record is from RNAcentral.
GUUAGGAAUAUUGGACAAUGGGCGCAAGCCUGAUCCAGCCAUGCCGCGUGAGUGAUGAAGGCCUUCGGGUUGUAAAGCUCUUUAGUCCACGAAUAUAAUGACUGUAGUGGAAGAAUAAGCCCCGGCUAACUUCGUGCCAGCAGCCGCGGUAAUACGAAGGGGGCGAGCGUUAUUCGGAAUCACUGGGCGUAAAGCGUGCGUAGGCUGUUUUGUAAGUCAGAAGUGAAAGCCCAGGGCUUAACCCUGGAAUUGCUUUUGAAACUACAAGACUCGAAUUCGGGAGAGGAUAGCGGAAUUGUCAGUGUAGCAGUGAAAUGCGUAGAUAUUGACAGGAACACCAGUGGCGCAAGCGGCUAUCUGGACCGAUAUAGACGCUGAGGCACGAAAGCGUGGGGAGCAAACAGGAUUAGAUAACCGAGUAGUCC